Molecule: long non-coding RNA, 5834 nt
Filed under: Theobroma cacao (cacao)
Lineage: Eukaryota; Viridiplantae; Streptophyta; Magnoliopsida; Malvales; Malvaceae
Description: long non-coding RNA (TCAC_LNC002719)
Source: RNAcentral
GAUCGGCAGAUCACAAAAUUUCAGCCUAAUGGGUCAUGGGCUGGUGGCAGUGGCACACGGUACACAUACUUACUUUUUAUGAAAAAACAGAAAAGUUAUUCUUUUGUUUUGGCACCUUUUAAUUAAUCUAUUUAUUUUUGGUUAAAAAGAAGAUUAGUGUGAAAGAGUGGUUUCGUUUGAAAAAAACCAUUACAUCUUGUCUUGUAUUUAAAUAGAUUUUAUGAAAAUGAAUGUAAGGCCACGUUAAUAACCACUACCAUUAUAAAUAAAAUUAUUAUCAAAUAAAAUAGAAUGUAUCUGUUUUAAGGUUAUAAAAUUAUCUCAUUUCAAGUUUCGAAUUGAGGAUAAUUACUUUAACCACACAGAGUCAUGAAAAAUCUAAUUAGAGCAAGAUCAAAGCAAAUGACAACCAAACGAUUUCAAAAGAAAGCAAUGCAAUGUUACAGAAACAAAAACUUUUACUGCAAAACCAAUCCUGAAUGAAACAAAUACAUUACUUCCAACAUAAAAAAAUAAUAAUAAUGGAACAGAAAUAGAGAGAAAUGUUCUCCCUAAAUGUUAGCUGUGACUGCCAACCAAUUUACACCCCCACCAAUUUACAAGCACUAACCUUUUUGAAACCAAGGAAAAAGGGUUGAGACAAAAUGCGUGGUUAAUAAGGUUUAGCCUGAGCCUUGCGUGCGCAGCUUGUUGGCAACGUAGAGCAAAUGGCUGAUAUUUGCCGAGGGAUAGUUUUGGAGAAGUUUAAGAUUAGAAGUAAAAUCCCCUGCUAGUAGGCGCCUUCGAACGAGAAUCAGCAUUGCACAGCAUACCCGAAGCAAUGUCUCCUGCAAAUACAUGUAACUAGUAAUCAUCCCCAAGCUUCUGUAAUCAUGCAUAUUUUGAUCCAUGUAAAAGCAGAGGUAGCAUGCAAACAGUCAAGAAACCAAUUACAAAUUGUAACUAUGGAAAGCCAUCAGCCCAACAACAUUCAAACAAAUUUCAAGAAAGAGAGUUAAAAUUCUGCACAAUCAUCCUAAAUGACCGGAACCAGUUAUUAGAGCAAACACUUCAAAUUUAAGGUUUGCAAUUGUCAUCAUAAAUACGUAGCCGAAAAAAUAUCCUAAUUUUAAUAUAUCAGUUAACCAUACAAAUGCAUAAUAUCACUGCAUAAGUUGGAUCAUAUAAUUAAAUCACAUAAUCAAUGGUUGGUGUCCUCACCGCCCUAUCCCCAAAUUAAACCUAAUGAUAUGGCCAAACACCCCUUGACUUGGCAGUAACCAGCAACUUAUGACACACCAAAUCUUAGGUUCAAACCUGGAAUCACCCAUCUCCUCCCCUAAUUUCCCAAUGAGUUAAAUAAUAAUAAAAAUAAUAAUAGUAAUUGGAAUAAUUGGUCCAACAAGCUUCAAGAAAAAAACUACAGAGAGGUAAAAAUUGCAAUCUUACGAGAGGUCCUUCAGGGUCACUUAGAAGUGUGUCCCAGAUGUGAAGGCUGUCAGCAAAAUUGAAUUCCUGUGUCAAGAGCAGAGUAAUCCACCUAAAUGCGUAAAACUGGGGGUUGACCUGUGAUAUUUAUACAUAGUAGUUAGCAUUAAGCUGAACUAAUUGCCUUGGCAAGAAGGGAAGAAAUGACAAGGGGGAAAGGGGUGCACCGAGGGUCGUUGUGCAGGAUGUAGGGUUGGUGGUAAGAGGCAGCAUGAGUCAAGAAAAAAAAAACAAGACAAGAAGGAUAUCGAAAAAUAGCACCUAUACUCUACAGGAAGAUGUUUAGUUUUUACAAUGAUAUCUUACUUUAGUUGUGACCUCCAGAUGACGCCAAAGCUCUUCAUCAUGUUCCUUCAGAAGCUGUGACAACUUAGUAAUUGUGGAACGGAUUCCCACAUUGCUGUUGUCAAGUUGCUGGCAGAAAUGAUCACGGAAUCCACUCAGUAACUCAACAAAACAAAAGAAUGUGUCGGCUUCAGCAGCGGCCUGCAGAACUUAAAUAUGGGAAAUGAUGAAGAAAAUAAUAAUGCAUUGCAUUCACAUAACAGUACCUUUAACCAGACUUUAAUCAUAAUGACAAUGGAAUUAAUAUAUGUUAUUUUUACAACGGUUAUUGGCCAUGUAAUUGCUCUAUAGCUAUCUGUACUUUGUAGACACUUAUACUCCAGAGAUUUUUUGGCAUACAAAAUUUCUAACUCAGAUAAGUCAAUGAUGAUAAAAGAACAUCAACAUAUUUUGUUUUCCACAAGCUCCAUAUAUAUUUGAAAGUUUUGUUCAAAACAACUUUUUGGGUUGCUUGGGACAAGAAAAGGAAUAGAGCUGGGGGCAAUGGAGUUUUAGACAGAAAUAACAAGAAAGAAACUGGCAAGCUAGGUUGUUGAGAGCUUCACUAGAUGAAGGAAAUGUAUGUCCUAAAGCUGGACAAACAGGAAGGUUCCAGAUGAAAAACCACCCCUUUUAGGUUGCACCAACAACUUUGACGCUGAAAAAAGACAUUAAUACUAAUAAUGAACCAAGGACAUUUUACUUUAGGGAUUCAAACCAGAAAGACUUGGACAUAAGCUGUAAAGACUGUUCAUUCCACAUCUUAAGGUUCAUUUUCCUUCGGUCUUUUAUUUUUGAGAAAAGUAUAUUUUCUUGUUUAUAUCCUUUUCUGAAACUUGCUUCCAUAUUAAAAUACAUGAAUAGUCAAAACAAUCACCUCACUUUUGUAUGUGACUCUUUUUUCUUUUUUUACCAAAAAAGAGAAAAAAAAAAAACUGCGGCAUCCACAAGAACAACAGAGACACACACAAAGGUAGAAAUGGCAUGACACCAAACGAACACUGAAAGACAAUUAUAGUUAGAUAAUGUUUCCAAAAAAGUAAGAUGUUGUUAAAGACAAGAUGCAAGCAUGUUAGAGAUUAACAGAAAAAAACUGGAUAGGGAAGAUAUGAGAUCUUCUUACCGCCAUUUCCUCAUCAGGGUCAUUUCUGAAAACAUAGAAUAGAGGUGCCAAGAUUUCAUUCAUCCCUUGAACAUAUCUUAUACCCGGAUUUAACUUGGCAAAUACGAUUAAUAUGUUUCUCAAUGCAUCCUGAAUAUGCAAGGUACAUGUAAGUCAGCAAUGACUUCAAUUCAUAUCAAAACUUAAGUCCAAAAGAGCAAAAGAAUAAAAGCACAUGAAAGAACAAAAGAAAGAAGAUGAUGUAUACCUGAUUAGACUUUGCAAGCUGUGAGUCCCCAGAGAAGAAGUGCAUGUCUGGAUGAGUGCGCUUCACAUCUCGGUCAAUCUGUUCAAUGAUUUCCGAGUCCUAGGAAUAUACCAAAAAAAAAAAGUUGGAGAUCAAUAAAAACUUUGUUCACUAGUUACAAGUAAGAUGCUUAUACUUAAGACCUUCUCUAUAUUGAACUUCAAAAGAAGAGAUUUUAAAUAAUUGGGCUCAUCAACAACAACAACAUGACUAAAAUUCCAAGAAGGCCAAAGCAAACCAAAAGGGAAAAAACCCUCUUUUCCCAAGGCUGCUAAAUCAGGAAAAUUCUAAGUACAAAUUCAAACAUUAUUGACAGAAUUUAUAAAUAAUUGAAAAUCAAAACUCCUCUGCAUUGCUGUCAUGUAUACGCUUGUAUAAAAACCUGGAAAUAAUACUCAAGUUGCAGGACACUCAACUAAGCAUUGACCUGAAACCAGCUGGCCAAAAGCUGCAUAAAAAAAUUUUUUUCCCCUCAUUUCACUUUCGUUAGGGAUGUUCUCAAUCAGAAGUUUAGCAUCCUCUUAUCUUUCUUACUACAAUGCUAAAAAACAUUAACAACUAUAAAUACCAAAUCCCAGCCUCUAAUAAUAAUAGAGAUAAUCUAAUACAAAAUAGACUUGAUUAUUCUUAGUAAAUUAAAGCUUUAAUGUAAAUGAUAGAGACUGCAAUGCUAACAUUCUAAAGGCUGCAUGGUAGUGCAAACUGCCCCUGAAAUAACUACCAUUAAAGUAUUUGUCUGCAGAAAGCUAGAGUGACCCACAUUUUAAAACUUAGACUUCAAACAGGAAAGAUGUUUUUCUUACUGGAAUGCAUGAGGAUUAUUUUUGCCAAUUGCAAAGAAUUAGGAUGUCCCCUGUGCAAGACAUUAUUCAGUCAUUCAAAUAUGAAACACAGUAGUACUUUUACAUUAACUCUAUACUCCAUUGUUUUUUUCGCUUUUGUGUAUCUAAUUGUUAUCCCUCAAUCUUUUGUCAAAUAUGCACUAGACGUCAGGCUCUGAUGAAAAUAAAUGAACUAAUUUCAUGAGAAGUGACUCAGCCAAGUUUAUACAAUCUAAAUUUAAAGCAUUCAACAGAUAAAACACAUAAGAUGAAGUAUGGCUUUCAAAAACUGAUUACCAAAUGACCCUAACAAGAUACCUGGAAGAAUUGAUUCCAGAUGCUGCUCUUCCCAAGGCUCAAAGGAUGCUCUCCAUGAGUUAUUUGUGAUCUUGACAGCGGACCACGGCUUUCAGAUUUUGACUCAUCAUUGUCACAACCCGUGGACUUCUCCAACCUCCUUGUGAUUUCUGACUGACUAGCCACAGAAACAUUCAGAAAUCCAGAACUCGUACAGAAAAGGAAAAGGAGAAAGAGAGCAGCCACACAAGAUAACACUACUUUUUGAGCUGAUAAUCCAAAAAAUGGAGAAAAAAAAAAAACUCAAGCAAAGUCAUUUUAUUGUUAGGAGGGAAAAAAUGAUCUAUCAAAUGAAAGAAAUUGCAACUGUACAGUCACCAAGAGAGGGUUAAAUUUCAAUUUCUCACUUAUUAAAAUAGUCAGCUCCAUGUUCUAGCUAUCUGCCAGCCUCAGUUUGUUUCAGUUCUUAUCCACUUAAUGCUUUAAAAACGCUUGUUAAAGUUUUACAUUAGCAUUAAUCAAAGAAACUAAUCAUACUUAUUUGAACAGAUUGCAUACAGUCAUAGUAGUGUACACAGUCCGUACACUAUAUUAUCGUGCAAAAGUUAAAGAAAAUCACUUACAGGAUUCAUCAAGAGCUCUUCCUUAAAAUGCUUGUACUGAGACCUUUUCUUAGUUAAUUCAGACGACCAUUGCCCACGAUCAGGUGGUAAGUAACCUAACAACAACUGCCACAACAACCAAACAAAUCGUAUCCUAUUAAUCCAGAAAAAAACACCAAAUUUGAAAUGCAUCCCAGCUAAAAAUUCCACAUUUCUCAAUUUUCUCAGCAGCGAAACAAAAAAAAAGGAAAAAAAAAAAUCCUACCUUCCACACAGUAGACCUGAUUCCUUCACCAUCAGGAAUCCCCUGCGACGCAAUCCUCCGCAAUUCCCGCAUAUUUACCACCUUCUUUGACAACUAACAGAACAAAAAAGGAAAAAUUAAAAAUAAAAUAGAAGCAGAAGAAGAAGGAAAGAAAAUCAGUUAAAAAUAUGGAGAAUCAGUAAAAAACCUCGACCAAGAGCUGAGCCUGGCGAGAGAUAUCCUCAGGAGAAACGUCAGAAGAGCUGCCGUUUUGAUCAUUAUCAUUACUAUCAUUGUCACUAUUAUCAUUAACUGGAUCUCUAAUUUCGGAUUUUGGAGUAGGAGAGGACUGAGGUCUUGACGCUGCCGCGGGAGGAGGCACUGGAACCGGAGGCUGAACAGCUGGCUCGGAAACGGCAGCGGUGGCGGUGGUGGGAGAAGGGGAGUAGCGUUGGAAGCGAUCGUCACUGGGAGUUGUGGACCAGAGCGAACUGUUGAGCCAAUCAGGUACUCGCUUCCUCACCAUUUCAAGAUUGGAAUCGAGAUUUGCUCUCUAUUUCUAAAAAUAAAUUUGUGAAUUUUUAAAAGCAGGUCGUGCAAUUUGUUGUGAAAAUUGGGAGUCUAAAGUAGGAGAAUUUUUGAGGGACUGAUUUCGAGUUGAAGAUGUGAG